This 505-nucleotide ribosomal RNA is filed under the name uncultured bacterium. RNAcentral's name for it is "partial 16S ribosomal RNA". It matches the Rfam family "Bacterial small subunit ribosomal RNA", at positions 28 to 507 of the family's 1533-position model. The record is from RNAcentral.
GACGAACGCUGGCGGCGUGCCUAAUACAUGCAAGUAGAACGCACAGAUUAUACCGUCGCUCGCUACACCAUAAACUGUGAGUUGCGAACGGGGGAGUCACCCGUAGGUAACCUUCCUGGUAGCGGGGGGUAACUAUAGGAAACGAUAGCUAAUACCGCAUCUUAUUGAUUAUUCAAUGAUAAUUGAUUGAAAGCUGCUAUUGCAUCGCUACUAGAUGGACCUGCGUUGUAUUAGCUAGUAGGUGAGGUAAAGGCCCACCUAGGCGACGAUACAUAGCCGACCUGGGAGGGUGAAUGGCCCAACUGGGAAUGAGACAAGGCCCCGACUCCUAAGGGAAGGCGCAGUAGGGGAUUUUCGGAAAAGGAGGAAAAGCUGGCUGAGGAAAGCCGGGGUAGUGAAGGAGGUUUUUGGAUCGUAAAGGUCUGUUGUAAGAGAAGAACGAGUGGGAGAGUGGAAAGUUCACGCUGUGACGGUAUCUUACGAGAAAGGGACGGCUAACUACGUG